GACGAACGCUGGCGGCGUGCCUAAUACAUGCAAGUUGAGCGCUGAAGGUUGGUACUUGUACCAACUGGAUGAGCAGCAAACGGGUGAGUAACGCGUGGGGAAUCUGCCUUUGAGCGGGGGACAACAUUUGGAAACGAAUGCUAAUACCGCAUAAAAACUUUAAACACAAGUUUUAAGUUUGAAAGAUGCAAUUGCAUCACUCAAAGAUGAUCCCGCGUUGUAUUAGCUAGUUGGUGAGGUAAAGGCUCACCAAGGCGAUGAUACAUAGCCGACCUGAGAGGGUGAUCGGCCACAUUGGGACGGAGACACGGCCCAAACUCCUACGGGAGGCGGCAGUAGGGAAUCUUCGGCAAGGGACGAAAGUCUGACCGAGCAACGCCGCGUGAGUGAAGAAGGUUGUCGGAUCGUAAAACUCGGUUGGUAGAGAAGAACGUUGGUGAGAGUGGAAAGCUCAUCAAGUGACGGUAACUACCCAGAAAGGGACGGCUAACUACGUG
RNAcentral lists this ribosomal RNA (497 nucleotides) under uncultured bacterium. RNAcentral describes it as "partial 16S ribosomal RNA". It matches the Rfam family "Bacterial small subunit ribosomal RNA", at positions 28 to 507 of the family's 1533-position model. The record is from RNAcentral.